Molecule: ribosomal RNA, 403 nt
Filed under: bacterium
Lineage: Bacteria
Description: partial 16S ribosomal RNA
Rfam family: Bacterial small subunit ribosomal RNA
Source: RNAcentral
UGGGGAAUAUUGCACAAUGGAGGGAACUCUGAUGCAGCGACGCCGCGUGAACGAAGAAGGCUUUCGCGUCGUAAAGUUCUUUUGUAUGGGAAGAUAAUGACGGUACCAUAAGAAAAAGCCCCGGCUAACUACGUGCCAGCAGCCGCGGUAAUACGUAGGGGGCUAGCGUUGUCCGGAAUCACUGGGCGUAAAGGGUUCGCAGGCGGAAAUGCAAGUCAGGUGUAAAAGGCAGUAGCUUAACUACUGUAAGCAUUUGAAACUGCAUAUCUUGAGAAGAGUAGAGGUAAGUGGAAUUUUUAGUGUAGCGGUGAAAUGCGUAGAUAUUAAAAAGAAUACCGGUGGCGAAGGCGACUUACUGGGCUCAUUCUGACGCUGAGGAACGAAAGCGUGGGUAGCAAACAGG